This is a non-coding RNA of Cavia porcellus (domestic guinea pig), 371 nucleotides long. The record is from Rfam. Lineage: Eukaryota; Metazoa; Chordata; Mammalia; Rodentia; Caviidae.
UGGCACCCAAUGUGGGGCUCCUGGCAUGGGGGAGUCAAUGAGGGAGCCAUUCUAGGAAGCCGGCUGAAAGUGAUAGCAAAUUGAACCAAAGACUGCAGUGAUAAGUGAGCAAACUAAAUCAAGGAUCAAAGCUAAAAGCAAAAAGAUAUUAAAUCAAGGACUGAGGCCUGCGUAGACAACUACCCGAUGUGCCUGCCUGAGUCACCAUGAAUGAAAGGUGACCCCAUUCCCUUUCCCGGACAUAGGUCAAGCAUUAAACAAACACAAAUUGUUUGUGGGAGGCCUUAUAAAGGCAUUAAAGACAAGAGGGGUAAGGGUUAGAACAAAAGAAUUAUUGCAGUAUUUUCAAUUUAUUCAUAAGGUUUGCCCCU